This 885-nucleotide ribosomal RNA is filed under the name uncultured Rhodocyclaceae bacterium. RNAcentral describes it as "bacterial SSU rRNA". It matches the Rfam family "Bacterial small subunit ribosomal RNA", at positions 51 to 929 of the family's 1533-position model. The record is from RNAcentral. Lineage: Bacteria; Pseudomonadati; Pseudomonadota; Betaproteobacteria; Rhodocyclales; Rhodocyclaceae.
GCACAUGCAAGUCGAACGGCAGCGGGGACUUCGGUCCGCCGGCGAGUGGCGAACGGGUGAGUAAAGUAUCGGAACGUACCUUUCAGUGGGGGAUAACGUAGCGAAAGUUACGCUAAUACCGCAUAUUCUGUGAGCAGGAAAGCAGGGGAUCGCAAGACCUUGCGCUGAUUGAGCGGCCGAUAUCAGAUUAGCUAGUUGGUGAGGUAAAGGCUCACCAAGGCGACGAUCUGUAGCGGGUCUGAGAGGAUGAUCCGCCACACUGGAACUGAGACACGGUCCAGACUCCUACGGGAGGCAGCAGUGGGGAAUUUUGGACAAUGGGGGCAACCCUGAUCCAGCCAUGCCGCGUGAGUGAAGAAGGCCUUCGGGUUGUAAAGCUCUUUCGGCCGGGAAGAAAUCGUAUGGGUUAAUACCCUGUGCGGAUGACGGUACCGGCAUAAGAAGCACCGGCUAACUACGUGCCAGCAGCCGCGGUAAUACGUAGGGUGCGAGCGUUAAUCGGAAUUACUGGGCGUAAAGCGUGCGCAGGCGGUUUUGUAAGACAGGCGUGAAAUCCCCGGGCUCAACCUGGGAACUGCGCUUGUGACUGCAAGGCUAGAGUAUGGCAGAGGGGGGUGGAAUUCCACGUGUAGCAGUGAAAUGCGUAGAGAUGUGGAGGAACACCAAUGGCGAAGGCAGCCCCCUGGGCCAAUACUGACGCUCAUGCACGAAAGCGUGGGUAGCAAACAGGAUUAGAUACCCUGGUAGUCCACGCCCUAAACGAUGUCAACUAGGUGUUGGGUGGGUAAAACCAUUUAGUACCGUAGCUAACGCGUGAAGUUGACCGCCUGGGGAGUACGGCCGCAAGGUUAAAACUCAAAGGAAUUGACGGGGGACCCGCACAAG